CAGUAGCCGCGGUAAAACGUAGGGUGCAAGCGUUAAUCGGAAUUACUGGGCGUAAAGGGCUCGCAGGCGGUUUCUUAAGUCUGAUGUGAAAGCCCCCGGCUCAACCGGGGAGGGUCAUUGGAAACUGGGAAACUUGAGUGCAGAAGAGGAGAGUGGAAUUCCACGUGUAGCGGUGAAAUGCGUAGAGAUGUGGAGGAACACCAGUGGCGAAGGCGACUCUCUGGUCUGUAACUGACGCUGAGGAGCGAAAGCGUGGGGAGCGAACAGGAUUAGAUACCCCCGUAGUCCCUGUCUCUUAUAC
This 301-nucleotide ribosomal RNA is filed under the name uncultured bacterium. RNAcentral describes it as "partial 16S ribosomal RNA". It matches the Rfam family "Bacterial small subunit ribosomal RNA", at positions 509 to 807 of the family's 1533-position model. The record is from RNAcentral.